RNAcentral lists this ribosomal RNA (407 nucleotides) under bacterium enrichment culture clone ALO1_GLFRUDD03GY54U. RNAcentral describes it as "bacterial SSU rRNA". It matches the Rfam family "Bacterial small subunit ribosomal RNA", at positions 9 to 416 of the family's 1533-position model. The record is from RNAcentral.
GAGUUUGAUCGUGGCUCAGAUUGAACGCUGGCGGCAUGCCUUACACAUGCAAGUCGAACGGCAGCACGGGAGCUUGCUCCUGGUGGCGAGUGGCGAACGGGUGAGUAAUGCAUCGGAACGUAUCCUGGAGUGGGGGAUAACGUAGCGAAAGUUACGCUAAUACCGCAUAUUCUGUGAGCAGGAAAGCGGGGGACCUUCGGGCCCCGCGCUCUUGGAGCGGCCGAUGUCGGAUUAGCUAGUUGGUGAGGUAAAGGCUCACCAAGGCGACGAUCCGUAGCAGGUCUGAGAGGAUGAUCUGCCACACUGGAACUGAGACACGGUCCAGACUCCUACGGGAGGCAGCAGUGGGGAAUUUUGGACAAUGGGGGCAACCCUGAUCCAGCCAUGCCGCGUGAGUGAAGAAGGCC